AUAAGGUUUGAUUCUGGCUUUUAUGUUAAUUAUUUUAAAUUAAUUAUAUGUUAAAAAGUUGAAUUAAUAAUUUGCAGUAAUUUAUUUUAUUCUUAAUUUUAUUAUUAUUUAGAAAUUUAUUAAAAUUAGAUUAAUUUUGUGCCAGCAUUCGCGGUUAUACAUCUUAUUUAAAUUAACUUUUUUGGUUAAUAUAUAUAUUAUUUUAUUUGAUUAUUUAAUUUAAUUAUUUAGGUGAAAUUUAUACUAUUCAAAAAUUUCAAAUAUUUUUAUAUUAAGUUUUUAUUUAAACUAGGAUUAGAUACCCUAUUAUUUUUUAUUUAAAUUUUUUAUUAUUCCUAAAUAUUAAUAGUUAUUUUCUAUGAAACUUAAAGAAUUUGGCGGUAAUUUUUCUUUAUAGAGGAACCUGUAUUUUAAUUGAUAAACCACAAUAAUUUUCACCAAUUAUAUUAUUUGUAUAUCGCUAUAUUAUAGAGUGUUUUAAUAAGAAAUUUUCUUUAAUUAUAAAAAAUAAUAUUAGGUCAAGAUGCAGUUUUUAUUUGGUUUAUGUGGGUUACUUUAAAAAUAUUUAUUUUAUAACUAUAAAUUAAUUAAUUUAUUUUAAAAUAGGAUUUAUUAGUAAUUUGGUUUAAUUAAAUUUUUUGAAUUUAGAUCUAAAUUAUGUACAUAUCGCCCGUCACUCUCAAUUAUAUGGGAUAAGUCGUAACAAAGUAGUUGUACCGGAAGGUGUAUCUAGAAUGUU
RNAcentral lists this non-coding RNA (739 nucleotides) under Erragonalia choui. The record is from RNAcentral. Lineage: Eukaryota; Metazoa; Arthropoda; Insecta; Hemiptera; Cicadellidae.